This is a long non-coding RNA of Lolium perenne, 298 nucleotides long. RefSeq lists it as uncharacterized. The record is from RefSeq and is a predicted model, not a curated record. Lineage: Eukaryota; Viridiplantae; Streptophyta; Magnoliopsida; Poales; Poaceae.
AGUUACAUGAUUAAUGAAAGCUCAGUUCUUGAUGCUCACUUUGUGGGACUUAAAAAGAUAGCAUGAUGAGGUCAUAGCGACGAACCAGCGGCGACGGCUUAGGAGAAGAGAAGAGGAGCACACCAAAGAAGAGGGAGCAUGUAGUCCACAACCAACAAUCAUUGCAGGUGUUAGUGCCACCUAUGUUCUGUAUUAUAUUUAUGACUAUAUUAGUUUUAGAUGGACCACCUGUUGUAUCUAUCUAUGUUGCAAUCUAUGAUGGGUGGCUAACUGGGAUCUCACGGUUUAAACCCAAUAA